This is a long non-coding RNA of Cyclopterus lumpus (lumpfish), 421 nucleotides long. RefSeq lists it as uncharacterized. The transcript is spliced from 3 exons. The record is from RefSeq and is a predicted model, not a curated record. Lineage: Eukaryota; Metazoa; Chordata; Actinopteri; Perciformes; Cyclopteridae.
ACAGGAAGUUGCAUUGUGCGCGGAUUCAAGGUUACAUUUACGGCAAAUAUGUCCGAUUUAAACACAAAACAAAGACUAAAUUAAAGGUUUUAGCACUCCCUCGUCAAGAACCACAACAAUAUGGUACUCCGACAGUGAAAGCGACAUGGAGCAGCCCCGAAAACUCUAAAGGAAAGAAAAGACGCCCAACCGCACUGCCCGCUGCCCCAAACAUUAUUGCUCCACCUUCCCCUGUCCGCACCUUCAAGUCCUAUGGGAGAGACUCCAACCAACAGAUCAGUCUGCUUUCAUUCAUCUAUUUUUUAGCAAUCCUUUGUGAAAUCCUGACACAGCUAGAAAUCAUCAAGGAGCAGCAAAGUCCUACUUCUCCAGCUACAGAACUCGACCAGCGCAGCAGAACUAUCCAAUGUGUCAGGAUGUC